RNAcentral lists this ribosomal RNA (449 nucleotides) under uncultured bacterium. RNAcentral's name for it is "bacterial SSU rRNA". It matches the Rfam family "Bacterial small subunit ribosomal RNA", at positions 330 to 793 of the family's 1533-position model. The record is from RNAcentral.
CCCAGACUCCUACGGGAGGCAGCAGUGGGGGAUAUUGCACAAUGGGGGAAACCCUGAUGCAGCGACGCCGCGUGAGUGAAGAAGUAUUUCGGUAUGUAAAGCUCUAUCAGCAGGGAAGAAAAAAGACGGUACCUGACUAAGAAGCCCCGGCUAACUACGUGCCAGCAGCCGCGGUAAUACGUAGGGGGCAAGCGUUAUCCGGAUUUACUGGGUGUAAAGGGAGCGUAGACGGCAAUACAAGUCGGAAGUGAAAUACCCGGGCUCAACCUGGGAACUGCUUUGGAAACUGUAUGGCUGGAGUGCUGGAGAGGUAAGCGGAAUUCCUAGUGUAGCGGUGAAAUGCGUAGAUAUUAGGAGGAACACCAGUGGCGAAGGCGGCUUACUGGACAGUAACUGACGUUGAGGCUCGAAAGCGUGGGAAGCAAACAGGAUUAGAUACCCUCGUAAUG